AAAAUGGGCUCGGGCAUUUUCAUGUCGUCGUUGCUCAAGCUCUUUCUUCUGCCUUAGCACUCCCAAUCGGAGUUCAACCUCUUGUUGAAGGGCCUCGGAUUCGAGCUGAAGAGCCUGAAUGUGCAAAGCAUGGAUCUCUUCCUCGAGCUCGCGAAACUCUCGCUUUCGUUCGGUUAUGCGAUCAAAAAUAUCGACCAUGUCGACUUGUAAGCGGAAUUGAAAGAAUCGCGACCAUUCCACCACACACUGGAUCAAAAGGGCGUUGCAGACAGGCGGGAACAAGAGCCCAAGGGCGGAUGACAGCAGAUCCUCUUGGGCCUUGACGGGCGGGAUGAUGAGGACAACAAUUAGAAGGACGAUUGCCAUCCAGAAAAGUGCGGUGCGAGAAAAGAGUGGCAUUUCCUCCGGACAUUUUCCUACUACAUUGACAGGGGCUGUUGAUCAACACUCACUCAGCUUGUGGGCUCAAUUGGAUGACAUCACAUCGGGGCCAGCUUGCCAGCUUACCAAAGAGAAAUUAAGAGUGUGUUCUUUCUUCAAGAUGGAAUUGCUCUCUCUAAGACCAAGAGGGCCAGGGAGAUGGUUGUCUUUGAUAGUGGAUAAUGGUUCAACUUGGAAUGUAAAUGGACGCACGCCGAAAGACCAAAUUAAAAUCAUCCAAGAAUGUCUUUUGACGAACGGUACUCAUGAUAAAACAACACACGAUAUUCAGUGUGACUUCCAUCCCACCUUGUCGAUGGUGGUUUCUAUCCUAACGAGAAUUGAAUCCGCCAACGGUGGCUGUCACACCUACGACAUACAAAGGCCACAUAUUUGGGCAGCAUUCAAGUCAAUUUCCUUCCUCACAAAUCGAACCAGAUCGAUCAUUUGUCACGGAAUUAUGUCAUCCAAGCCAAUAGCGUCUUGAGAGUGAAAGGUAGAAAGGUAAACAUGGAUUGUUCCCGUGAAGGAUAAUCUCUGUAUAUCAGAAUCAAAGAAUCAAUCGAACACAUUGCUGACAUUCCAAGCUUGUAUAGCAGACGAACAUCGAUGUUGGAGGAGGAUGUGUCUGGUGUUACAUUCGAUUUUCAUUCUACUUCUUCCACAAUUUCUCUGUCUGUGAAAAGCCGGGAGGGGAUUGCUCCCUUGUUUUCAAGCAUAUUGAAUAAGAUCAUAUUUCAAGCA
Tigriopus californicus is the source of this 1164-nucleotide long non-coding RNA. RefSeq lists it as uncharacterized. The record is from RefSeq and is a predicted model, not a curated record. The transcript has 2 exons. NCBI's taxonomy places the organism in Eukaryota, Metazoa, Arthropoda, Copepoda, Harpacticoida, Harpacticidae.